GUCCACGCAGUAAACGAUGAUAGCUCGUUGUCGGCGAUACACAGUCGGUGACUAAGAGAAAUCGAUAAGCUAUCCACCUGGGGAGUACGUUCGCAAGAAUGAAACUCAAAGGAAUUGACGGGGGGCCCGCACAAGCGGUGGAGCAUGUGGUUUAAUUCGAUGAUACGCGAGGAACCUUACCAAGGCUUAAAUGUAGAUUGACCGUUUUUGGAAACAGAACUUUCGCAAGACAAUUUACAAGGUGCUGCAUGGUUGUCGU
RNAcentral lists this ribosomal RNA (259 nucleotides) under uncultured bacterium. RNAcentral's name for it is "partial 16S ribosomal RNA". It matches the Rfam family "Bacterial small subunit ribosomal RNA", at positions 793 to 1055 of the family's 1533-position model. The record is from RNAcentral.